RNAcentral lists this small RNA (821 nucleotides) under uncultured Verticillium. Its description in RNAcentral is "eukaryotic LSU rRNA". The stretch from base 541 to 821 matches the Rfam family "Eukaryotic large subunit ribosomal RNA", at positions 1 to 281 of the family's 3401-position model. The record is from RNAcentral. Lineage: Eukaryota; Fungi; Ascomycota; Sordariomycetes; Hypocreales.
CUUGGUCAUUUAGAGGAAGUAAAAGUCGUAACAAGGUCUCCGUUGGUGAACCAGCGGAGGGAUCAUUACCGAGUACUAUAACUCAUAACCCUUUGUGAACCUUUAUACCUGUUGCUUCGGCGGCGCGCCUCCCGGGGCGUGCCCGCCGGCAUUAUCAGAAUCUCUGUUCGAACCCGACGAUACAUCUGAGUGUUCUAAGCGAACUGUUAAAACUUUCAACAACGGAUCUCUUGGCUCCAGCAUCGAUGAAGAACGCAGCGAAACGCGAUAUGUAAUGUGAAUUGCAGAAUUCAGUGAAUCAUCGAAUCUUUGAACGCACAUGGCGCCUUCCAGUAUCCUGGGAGGCAUGCCUGUCCGAGCGUCGUUUCAACCCUCGAGCCCCCGUGGCCCGGCGUUGGGGAUCUGCCCAGGCAGUCCCCGAAAACCAGUGGCGGACCCGUUGGGCCCUUCCUUUGCGUAGUAACAUCUGCCUCGCAUCGGGAGCCUGCGGGCUAUCCGGCCUCUAAACCCCCCUCAAGCCCGCUCCGGCGGCACCAAGGUUGACCUCGGAUCAGGUAGGAAUACCCGCUGAACUUAAGCAUAUCAAUAAGCGGAGGAAAAGAAACCAACAGGGAUUGCCUCAGUAGCGGCGAGUGAAGCGGCAACAGCUCAAAUUUGAAAUCUGGCUCCUUCGGGGCCCGAGUUGUAAUUUGCAGAGGAUGCUUCGGGUACGGGUUCCUUCCGAGUUCCCUGGAACGGGACGCCAUAGAGGGUGAGAGCCCCGUCUGGUAGGACACCCAGCCCGUGUGAAGCUCCCUCGACGAGUCGAGUUGUUUGGGAAU